This 508-nucleotide ribosomal RNA is filed under the name uncultured bacterium. RNAcentral's name for it is "partial 16S ribosomal RNA". It matches the Rfam family "Bacterial small subunit ribosomal RNA", at positions 28 to 507 of the family's 1533-position model. The record is from RNAcentral.
GACGAACGCUGGCGGCGUGCCUAAUACAUGCAAGUCGAACGCUUCUUUCCUCCCGAGUGCUUGCACCCAAUUGGAAAGAGGAGUGGCGGACGGGUGAGUAACACGUGGGUAACCUACCCAUCAGAGGGGGAUAACACUUGGAAACAGGUGCUAAUACCGCAUAACAGUUUAUGCCGCAUGGCAUAAGAGUGAAAGGCGCUUUCGGGUGUCGCUGAUGGAUGGACCCGCGGUGCAUUAGCUAGUUGGUGAGGUAACGGCUCACCAAGGCCACGAUGCAUAGCCGACCUGAGAGGGUGAUCGGCCACACUGGGACUGAGACACGGCCCAGACUCCUACGGGAGGCAGCAGUAGGGAAUCUUCGGCAAUGGACGAAAGUCUGACCGAGCAACGCCGCGUGAGUGAAGAAGGUUUUCGGAUCGUAAAACUCUGUUGUUAGAGAAGAACAAGGACGUUAGUAACUGAACGUCCCCUGACGGUAUCUAACCAGAAAGCCACGGCUAACUACGUG